Long non-coding RNA from Haliotis rubra (blacklip abalone), 126 nucleotides. RefSeq lists it as uncharacterized. The record is from RefSeq and is a predicted model, not a curated record. The transcript has 3 exons. NCBI's taxonomy places the organism in Eukaryota, Metazoa, Mollusca, Gastropoda, Lepetellida, Haliotidae.
CGGAAGCAUAGUGUUUGAAGGAUAUGGGACCAAAUGCCAUGUACGGAGACGGCAGGAAUCUAAAAAAGGAAUUUGACUGCCGAACGAAGGUUUCUGGAAGGUUCAUACACUACAGAGUUUGAUGAU